This 492-nucleotide ribosomal RNA is filed under the name uncultured bacterium. Its description in RNAcentral is "partial 16S ribosomal RNA". It matches the Rfam family "Bacterial small subunit ribosomal RNA", at positions 28 to 507 of the family's 1533-position model. The record is from RNAcentral.
GACGAACGCUGGCGGCGUGCUUAACACAUGCAAGUCGAACGGAAAGGCCUGCUUUCCCUUGUGGAUUGCGGGUACUCGAGUGGCGAACGGGUGAGUAACACGUGAGUGAUCUGCCCCCAACUUGGGUAUAAGCCUGGGAAACUGGGUCUAAUUCCCGAUAGGACUGCAGGGUGGUGCCUGUGGUGGAAAACGAUUUUCUAGUGGUUGGGGAUGAGCUCGCGGCCUAUCAGCUUGUUGGUGGGGUAAUGGCCUACCAAGGCGGCGACGGGUAGCCGGCCUGAGAGGGUGGACGGCCACAUUGGGACUGAUACGGCCCAGACUCCUACGGGAGACAGCAGUGGGGAAGAUUGCACAAUGGGCGGAAGCCUGAUGCAGCGACGCCGCGUGGGGGAUGACGGCCUUCGGGUUGUAAACUCCUUUCGACCGCGAGGAAGCCACCUGGUUGGAAGGGUGGUGACGGUAGUGGUAGAAGAAGCACCUGCUAACUACGUG